RNAcentral lists this transfer RNA (69 nucleotides) under Rattus norvegicus (Norway rat). It matches the Rfam family "tRNA". From Rfam's summary of the family: Transfer RNA (tRNA) molecules are approximately 80 nucleotides in length. Their secondary structure includes four short double-helical elements and three loops (D, anti-codon, and T loops). Lineage: Eukaryota; Metazoa; Chordata; Mammalia; Rodentia; Muridae. The record is from Rfam by way of RNAcentral.
GGGGCUUUAGCUCAGUGGUAGAGCACUUGCCUAGCAAGCGCAAGGCCCUGGGUUCAGUCCCCAGCUCCG